GGGCAUAUGGUGUAGUGGUAUCACGCCUCAUUUGCAGUCAUGUGGGAAACUGCAUAAUGCGACUUGAGGCGGCCCAGGGUUCGAUCCCCUGUGUGUCCA
Non-coding RNA from Ceratobasidium sp. AG-I, 99 nucleotides. Lineage: Eukaryota; Fungi; Basidiomycota; Agaricomycetes; Cantharellales; Ceratobasidiaceae. The record is from the annotation of a GenBank genome assembly.